GGGCCCGCACAAGCGGUGGAGCAUGUGGUUUAAUUCGAUGAUACGCGAGGAACCUUACCAGGGCUUAAAUGUAGAACGACCGAUUUGGAAACAAGUCUUCUCUUUGAGCGGUCUACAAGGUGCUGCAUGGUUGUCGUCAGCUCGUGCCGUGAGGUGUCGGGUUAAGUCCCAUAACGAGCGCAACCCCUAUUUCUAGUUGCCAGCGGUUCGGCCGGGGACUCUAGAGAAACUGCCAGCGUAAGCUGUGAGGAAGGUGGGGAUGACGUCAAAUCAUCAUGCCCCUUAUGUCUUGGGCUUCACGCAUGCUACAAUGGCCGGUACAGAGGGCUGCAAUACCGCAAGGUGGAGCGAAUCCCAAAAAGCCGGUCUCAGUUCGGAUUGAGGUCUGCAACUCGACCUCAUG
Molecule: ribosomal RNA, 403 nt
Filed under: uncultured bacterium
Lineage: Bacteria
Description: bacterial SSU rRNA
Rfam family: Bacterial small subunit ribosomal RNA
Source: RNAcentral